RNAcentral lists this transfer RNA (89 nucleotides) under Blautia sp. BCRC 81119. RNAcentral's name for it is "tRNA-Leu". It matches the Rfam family "tRNA". From Rfam's summary of the family: Transfer RNA (tRNA) molecules are approximately 80 nucleotides in length. Their secondary structure includes four short double-helical elements and three loops (D, anti-codon, and T loops). The record is from RNAcentral. Lineage: Bacteria; Bacillati; Bacillota; Clostridia; Lachnospirales; Lachnospiraceae.
GCACCAGUGGCGGAACAGGCAGACGCAUUGGACUUAAAAUCCAAAGAAGUUUAAUUAUCUUCGUGAGAGUUCAAGUCUCUCCUGGCGCA